AGCGAACGCUGGCGGCAGGCCUAACACAUGCAAGUCGUGCGCCCCGCAAGGGGAGCGGCAGACGGGAGAGUAACGCGUGGGAACGUGCCCUUUGGUUCGGAACAACCCAGGGAAACUUGGGCUAAUACCGGAUAAGCCCUCACGGGGAAAGAUUUAUCGCCGAAGGAUCGGCCCGCGUCUGAUUAGCUAGUUGGUGGGGUAAUGGCCCACCAAGGCGACGAUCAGUAGCUGGUCUGAGAGGAUGAUCAGCCUCACUGGGACUGAGACACGGCCCAGACUCCUACGGGAGGCAGCAGUGGGGAAUAUUGGACAAUGGGCGCAGGCCUGAUCCAGCCAUGCCGCGUGGGUGAUGAAGGCCCUAGGGUUGUAAAGCCCUUUCGGCGGGGAAGAUAAUGACGGUACCCGCAGAAGAAGCCCCGGCUAACUUCGUGCCAGCCGCCGCCGUAA
Molecule: ribosomal RNA, 447 nt
Filed under: uncultured bacterium
Lineage: Bacteria
Description: partial 16S ribosomal RNA
Rfam family: Bacterial small subunit ribosomal RNA
Source: RNAcentral